GGUUUUAAUUCGAAGCAACGCGAAGAACCUUACCUGGCCUUGACAUGCUGAGAACUUUCCAGAGAUGGAUUGGUGCCUUCGGGAACUCAGACACAGGUGCUGCAUGGCUGUCGUCAGCUCGUGUCGUGAGAUGUUGGGUUAAGUCCCGUAACGAGCGCAACCCUUGUCCUUAGUUACCAGCACCUCGGGUGGGCACUCUAAGGAGACUGCCGGUGACAAACCGGA
This 225-nucleotide ribosomal RNA is filed under the name Pseudomonas aeruginosa. RNAcentral describes it as "partial 16S ribosomal RNA". It matches the Rfam family "Bacterial small subunit ribosomal RNA", at positions 945 to 1167 of the family's 1533-position model. The record is from RNAcentral. Lineage: Bacteria; Pseudomonadati; Pseudomonadota; Gammaproteobacteria; Pseudomonadales; Pseudomonadaceae.